RNAcentral lists this ribosomal RNA (440 nucleotides) under uncultured bacterium. Its description in RNAcentral is "bacterial SSU rRNA". It matches the Rfam family "Bacterial small subunit ribosomal RNA", at positions 338 to 795 of the family's 1533-position model. The record is from RNAcentral.
CCUACGGGAGGCAGCAGUGGGGAAUCUUGCACAAUGGGGGAAACCCUGAUGCAGCGACGCCGCGUGAGCGAUGAAGCCCUUCGGGGCGUAAAGCUCUUUCGACAGGAACGAUAAUGACGGUACCUGGAGAAGAAGCUGCGGCUAACUACGUGCCAGCAGCCGCGGUAAUACGUAGGCAGCAAGCGUUGUUCGGAGUUACUGGGCGUAAAGAGUGCGUAGGCGGUUCUGCAAGUCCGGUGUGAAAUCUCCCGGCUCAACUGGGAGGGUGCGCCGGAAACUGCGGAGCUGGAGUAUGGGAGAGGCAAGCGGAAUUCCUGGUGUAGCGGUGAAAUGCGUAGAUAUCAGGAGGAACACCGGUGGUGUAGACGGCUUGCUGGACCAUGACUGACGCUGAGGCACGAAAGCGUGGGGAGCAAACAGGAUUAGAUACCCGGGUAGUC